This 253-nucleotide ribosomal RNA is filed under the name uncultured bacterium. RNAcentral describes it as "partial 16S ribosomal RNA". It matches the Rfam family "Bacterial small subunit ribosomal RNA", at positions 524 to 776 of the family's 1533-position model. The record is from RNAcentral.
UACGGAGGGGGCUAGCGUUGUUCGGAAUUACUGGGCGUAAAGCGCACGUAGGCGGACUUUUAAGUCGGGGGUGAAAUCCCAGGGCUCAACCCUGGAACUGCCUUCGAUACUGGAGGUCUGGAGGUCGAGAGAGGCGAGUGGAAUGACCAGUGUAGAGGUGAAAUUCGUAGAUAUUCGGCGGAAUACCAGUGGCGAAGGCGGCUCUCUGGCUGGAUACUGACGCUGAGUUGCGAAAGCGUGGGGAGCAAACGGG